GGUUAGUAUCAUCAGAUAGUU
RNAcentral lists this unclassified non-coding RNA (21 nucleotides) under synthetic construct. The record is from RNAcentral.